RNAcentral lists this long non-coding RNA (414 nucleotides) under Mytilus galloprovincialis (Mediterranean mussel). Lineage: Eukaryota; Metazoa; Mollusca; Bivalvia; Mytilida; Mytilidae. The record is from RNAcentral.
UUAAAACUUUGCUUACCCUUCACAAUUGAAAUAAAUUUGACCAAGAUGAUAUUUUCAGAUGAGAAAUGUGAAUUAUUUUGUUUAUUAAUGAAGAAAUCCCAUAUACCUUAAACUAUUACAUUCCAGAACUCAAAAUGGUGGCUACUCUUAGUAACAGAGAGACAAGAUUGAUAAAGGAGUAGGUCUGGUAAGGGCCGAUUUUGGCCUCAAAAUUCAGGUUCAUCUGACGAAAGAUUUCCUACACUUUUUAAACUCUUAAGUGUCUAUUUCAAUUGAUUUGAUUAGUUUUUGUGAAAGUUUUUAACUGAUUUAGCCAUUAAAAACGCUCCGAUUCAAGCUUAAAUAUGAAAAAUCGAGCAAAUAUGCCAAAAAACGUCACUUUUCAGAUGGUUUUUGUCAAAAAUGAAAGUGGCC